Gorilla gorilla gorilla (western lowland gorilla) is the source of this 1100-nucleotide long non-coding RNA. RefSeq lists it as uncharacterized. Lineage: Eukaryota; Metazoa; Chordata; Mammalia; Primates; Hominidae. The transcript is spliced from 3 exons. The record is from RefSeq and is a predicted model, not a curated record.
CCUGAGAGUGAGUGCUUCCUUAAGUGUUGACCCUGAGUGCCCUGCCUGUCUCACUCUAGUCCCAGCCUUGCCUGGGAAUGACAGCUUCUUAGGCCCACUUAUCAGGAUUCUAGAACCAGAGGAACAAAGUUUGAUCGCUAAGGGGAGCAGGGGUGGGAAUCAUCUCGUUGCUCCACCACCAACCACCUCCCAACCACCCCAGGCCAAGUAUCUUGCAACGUGAAAGCUCGGCUGUAUGAAGGAUUCUGGGUAAUUCCCAGCAAUGAAUAUCGCCAGGGCCACUGGUUCCAGGAAGAGCUGGACUUGAGCCCUCAGGACAAGGGGAAGAAGCAAGUCACAGAUGGCAAGAAAAAACUAGCAGUCAAGGAUGAAUUUAGAGUACGGUGUCAGCCCUGCCACACAUUCCUACUUCUAGCCUGCUCUGGAGCAGCUGCCCUCCUAGGCAACCAGCUGCCUACACUCCAGAGGAGCUAAGCUGAGAAGCGCCUCCACCCAGGGCAACACUGCCAAUGACUAUCCUAUGGAACUUUCAGAGGCCCCAAGAUGGCUCCUCAACCAGAGAAACCCACCCCUUGGUAAGGAUAUGGCCGCCAACCCUUCUCCUCUCCCUGAGACCUCAGAAGCAGUUAGAUAUGCCCAAAAUGAGCCGGCCACUUUUUUUUUUUUUUUUUUUUUGAGAUGGAGUCUCACUCUUGUUGCCCAGGCUGGAGUGCAGUGGCACAAUCUCGGCUCACUGCAACCUCUGCCUCCCGGGUUCAAGUGAUUCUCUUGCCUCAGCCUCCCGAGUAGCUGGGAUUACAGGUGCCCACCACCACUCCUGGCUAAUUUUGUGCUUUUAGUAGAGACAGGGUUUCACCAUGUUGGCCAGUCUGGUCUCAAACUCCUGACCUCAGGUGGUCUGCGCCUCAGCCUCCCAAAGUACUGGGAUUACAGGGAUUAAUCCCUGGCCAGAGCAGGCUACUUCUGAGGACAAACUUCAUCCCUGUCCUUGCUGUAGGUGGUUUCUUGCUCCCAGCCUGACCCCUCCCAGUUCUGGUCCUCAUGCUGCAGGGGAAAUGACUCUCGCGAUGUGAUCUGGGAGGUCUCAGGCAGGGGGCAAG